RNAcentral lists this long non-coding RNA (212 nucleotides) under Arachis ipaensis. RNAcentral's name for it is "long non-coding RNA (AIPA_LNC000272)". Lineage: Eukaryota; Viridiplantae; Streptophyta; Magnoliopsida; Fabales; Fabaceae. The record is from RNAcentral.
AUGAACACUUCACUGGACACAUUUGUGUACACCUAUUGGCAUUGACAUCAAAGCUUAAUUAUAUUUGCACAUAUUUGUGAUAUUACAAAAUGUGACACAUGAAAUCUUUUCUCACUUUUAGUCCAAAAAUCUAUUUUCAUUUAUAUCCAUCUUUAUCUUAAUUGCCCAACCCAGAUUUUAGAAUAAUCCGAUACAUCUGAAAGAAUAUUUAG